ACUGGGCGUAAAGGACAUGCAGGCGGUUAUACAAGUAGGAUGUGAAAGCCUGGGGCUCAACCUCAGAACUGCAUUCUAAACUGUGUGACUAGAGUACUGCAAGGGGAGACGGAAUUUCAGGUGUAGCGGUGGAAUGCGUAGAUAUCUGAAAGAACACCAAAGGCGAAGGCAGUCUCCUGGGCAAAUACUGACGCUCAUAUGCGAAAGCGUGGGUAGCAAACAGGAUUAGAUACCCUGGGUAGUCCACGGCCGUAAACGAUGUCAAUUAGGAGCUUGAGCAAUAGUUUGGGUUCCGAAGCAAACGCAAUAAAUUGACCGCCUGGGGAGUACGGCCGCAAGAUUAAAACUCAAAUGAAUUGACGGGGGCCCGCACAAGCGGUGGAGCAUGUGGUUUAAUUCGACGCAACGCGAAGAACCUUACCUGAUCUUGACAUAGCAAGAACCUCUCUGAAGGGAGAGGGUGCCUUCGGGAAUUUGCAUACAGGUGCUGCAUGGCUGUCGUCAGCUCGUGUCGUGAGAUGUUGGGUUAAGUCCCGCAACGAGCGCAACCCUUGUCCUUUGUUGCCAGCGAUUAGGUCGGGCACUCAGAGGAGACUGCCAGUGACAAACUGGAGGAAGGCAGGGAUGACGUCAAGUCAUCAUGGCCCUUACGGUCAGGGCUACACACGUGCUACAAUGGGGCGUACAGAGGGAAACGAUACCGCGAGGUGGAGUGGAACCCACAAAGCGUCCCUAAGUUCGGAUUGGAGUCUGCAACUCGACUCCAUGAAGUCGGAAUCGCUAGUAAUCGCAAAUCAGAAUGUUGCGGUGAAUACGUUCCC
This 821-nucleotide ribosomal RNA is filed under the name uncultured Pseudomonadota bacterium. RNAcentral's name for it is "bacterial SSU rRNA". It matches the Rfam family "Bacterial small subunit ribosomal RNA", at positions 553 to 1375 of the family's 1533-position model. Lineage: Bacteria; Pseudomonadati; Pseudomonadota. The record is from RNAcentral.